UUACAUUGACUGAUAUUUAGUGACACAGAAACAAAAUAAGCUUUUUUUAAUGCUCCUCUGCCUCUUUAAUGUAAAUUAGCUAAGCAGGAGGACUCUGUGGAAACUUUACGUUAACAGCAAACUAUAUUGAAUGACGAAAAGAAAAGUGAGGCAACACUAAAGACGGAGGUUGUAUUAUAAUAGUAUUUUGAAGUGAAUAUUUUGUUUUCAUUUAAAGCUUUUUGCUGUUAGAACCGCGGAACGUCGGAGGUGACUUGGAGUUAUUUUCUGGCGGUUACCGUCAUCUGAGGAAACUGGUCACUGCAACUCCAACAGAUGCAGAGAGAAGCCUCUCUUUGCCCAGUACCCCAAGACUGAUUGCACUUGGUUCAUUCUGAGAAUAAACCAAAAUCAAAAUCACAGAUCAGCCGGGCAUCUGGAAAAAGGAUGCAGAGAAAAAUCGCCAGCCUGAAUCCCCUUGUGGCAUCUUUCAUCAGAGAGCUUGUUGAAUUCGAUUGGCAAAAUUAUUGAAAGAAAACACGACUAAAACAUGUUUUUACUGUUA
Long non-coding RNA from Cyprinus carpio (common carp), 544 nucleotides. RefSeq lists it as uncharacterized. The record is from RefSeq and is a predicted model, not a curated record. NCBI's taxonomy places the organism in Eukaryota, Metazoa, Chordata, Actinopteri, Cypriniformes, Cyprinidae. The transcript is spliced from 3 exons.